RNAcentral lists this ribosomal RNA (253 nucleotides) under uncultured bacterium. RNAcentral's name for it is "partial 16S ribosomal RNA". It matches the Rfam family "Bacterial small subunit ribosomal RNA", at positions 524 to 776 of the family's 1533-position model. The record is from RNAcentral.
UACGGAGGGUGCAAGCGUUAUCCGGAUUCACUGGGCUUAAAGGGUGCGUAGGCGGGUUGGUAAGUCAGUGGUGAAACCUUCAAGCUUAACUUGGAAACUGCCGUUGAUACUAUCAAUCUUGAAUAUUGUGGAGGUAAGCGGAAUAUGUCAUGUAGCGGUGAAAUGCUUAGAUAUGACAUAGAACACCGAUAGCGAAGGCAGCCUGCUGGACAAUAAUUGACGCUGAGGCACGAAAGCGUGGGGAUCAAACAGG